CCGGGAGCUCCUCUCUCCUCUCGUGAGAGAUCUGCCUGGAUUAGUCCAGCGACAGCCAGCGUAUGUUCAGGCGAGAAGCGGCGCUUGAUGCUUCCGGCAAGGCCGAGUAGAGCAACAGAGCAGCAGGAGGCACCUCUGCGAGGGUUUUUGCUCGCCGCUUCUGCACGACCUUUCUCCAUAGCCACCGCGAGGAAGAAGGUCUACAGUAUGAGAGAGAUGGAUGACACUGCUGCUGGCUAGAAACAUAGAGCUCCAGGACUCAGCGAGAGAAGAAAAUAGAAGUCGGACAUGUAACAGAGGCUAUCAAACCCUCCGAAUAGGGUGUUGGGAGUUUUCACCGUUAAAGGAACAGCGAGGCCGGCAACCCAUUUGGAGUUUCGAGCGGCGAUCUCUGAUGCUUCUACAAAAGAAAAGGAAUGGAUGACAAGAACAGCAGCUAACACGGUCGACCUGUGCGCCGUCUCCUGAAAAGAAAAAGAUUUGCAGCCUGAAGUCUAUCAAUAAUGACAGAGGACAACCGGUAGAGGGAGGCAGAGACAAAGACGACCAUGUGCCACCGGCUACUGCCACCGUCUCCACAGUCCACAGUCCAUAACCAUCCAGUCUGCCACCGCCAAUGUCUCCGCUCUACCACGGGGCCACCAUCGCCCUUUCUUCGCUCCACCGCUGGUCCACUAUUGCCCUUUUGAAGAUGGGUGUGGCAUCUUUGUCUAAGAUCUUGUGCAGAGACUUAAUGUUCAUGUCAAACUUAAACUAUGUUGGAAAGUAUUUGUCAUUAUGAAAGUUUAUCAUCUUUUAAAAAUGGAAUGUUGAUGAUAGUUUAACUGUUGAUGGCGAGAAAUAUUACUACUUUUAUUUGCUUGGAGAUUA
Long non-coding RNA from Nymphaea colorata (pocket water lily), 870 nucleotides. RefSeq lists it as uncharacterized. The record is from RefSeq and is a predicted model, not a curated record. The transcript has 3 exons. Lineage: Eukaryota; Viridiplantae; Streptophyta; Magnoliopsida; Nymphaeales; Nymphaeaceae.